UUAUGGCUCAGGAUGAACGCUAGCGGCAGGCUUAACACAUGCAAGUCGAGGGGCAUCGGGAGUAGCAAUACUUGCCGGCGACCGGCGCAAGGGUGCGUAACGCGUGAGCAACAUGCCCGUAUCAGGGGGAUAAUCCAUGGAAACGUGGUCUAAUACCCCAUAGUAAUUAUGUAAGGCAUCUUAUAUAAUUUAAAGCUUUGGUGGAUACGGAUUGGCUCGCGUGACAUUAGCUAGAUGGUAAGGUAACGGCUUACCAUGGCUACGAUGUCUAGGGGUUCUGAGAGGAAGGUCCCCACACUGGAACUGAGACACGGUCCAGACUCCUACGGGAGGCAGCAGUGAGGAAUAUUGGACAAUGGAUGGAAAUCUGAUCCAGCCAUGCCGCGUGCAGGAAGACGGCCCUAUGGGUUGUAAACUGCUUUUGUAUGGGAGCAAUAAGGGCUACGCGUAGUCCGAUGAGAGUACCAUACGAAUAAGCACCGGCUAACUCCGUGCCAGCCGCCGC
This 505-nucleotide ribosomal RNA is filed under the name uncultured bacterium. RNAcentral describes it as "bacterial SSU rRNA". It matches the Rfam family "Bacterial small subunit ribosomal RNA", at positions 17 to 518 of the family's 1533-position model. The record is from RNAcentral.